UAAGGAAUAUUGGUCAAUGGAGGCAACUCUGAACCAGCCAUGCCGCGUGCAGGAAGAAGGCCCUAUGGGUCGUAAACUGCUUUUGAACAAGAGAAAACCCCGGUACGUGUACUGGGUUGAUAGUAUUGUUAGAAUAAGCAUCGGCUAACUUCGUGCCAGCAGCCGCGGUAAGACGAAGGAUGCAAGCGUUAUCCGGAUUCAUUGGGUUUAAAGGGUGCGUAGGCGGACUGAUAAGUCAGUGGUGAAAUCUCUCGGCUUAACCGAGAAACUGCCAUUGAUACUGUUAGUCUAGAGUACAGAUGAUGUGGGCGGAAUAUGACAUGUAGUGGUGAAAUACUUAGAUAUGUCAUAGAACACCGAUUGCAAAGGCAGCUCACAAAACUGUAACUGACGCUGAGGCACGAAAGUGCGGGGAUCAAACAGGAUUAGAUACCCACGUAGUCCCUGAGCGGGCUGGCAAGGCGCAU
RNAcentral lists this ribosomal RNA (467 nucleotides) under uncultured bacterium. RNAcentral's name for it is "bacterial SSU rRNA". It matches the Rfam family "Bacterial small subunit ribosomal RNA", at positions 355 to 825 of the family's 1533-position model. The record is from RNAcentral.